CCUACGGGAGGCAGCAGUGGGGAAUAUUGCACAAUGGGGGAAACCCUGAUGCAGCAACGCCGCGUGAGUGAAGAAGUAUUUCGGUAUGUAAAGCUCUAUCAGCAGGGAAGAAAAUAGCGGUUCCUUACUAAGAAACCCCGGCUAACUACGUUCCAGCAGCCUCGGUAAUACGUAGGGGGCCAGCGUUAUCCCGAUUUACUGGGUGUAAAGGGAGCGUAGACGGUUGUGCAAGUCUGAAGUGAAAGCCCGUGGCUUAACCGCGGAACGGCUUUGGAAACUGUGGAACUGGAGUGCUGGAGAGGCAGGCGGAAUUCCUAGUGUAGCGGUGAAAUGCGUAGAUAUUAGGAGGAACACCAGUGGCGAAGGCGGCCUGCUGGACAGUAACUGACGUUGAGGCUCGAAAGCGUGGGGAGCAAACAGGAUUAGAUACCCCUGUAGUC
RNAcentral lists this ribosomal RNA (440 nucleotides) under uncultured bacterium. RNAcentral describes it as "partial 16S ribosomal RNA". It matches the Rfam family "Bacterial small subunit ribosomal RNA", at positions 338 to 795 of the family's 1533-position model. The record is from RNAcentral.